CCUACGGGCGGCAGCAGUGAGGAAUAUUGGUCAAUGGGCGCGAGCCUGAACCAGCCAAGUCGCGUGAGGGAGGACGGCCCUACGGGUUGUAAACCUCUUUUGCCGGGGAGCAACGGGCGCCACGUGUGGCGCCACUGAGAGUACCCGGAGAAAAAGCAUCGGCUAACUCCGUGCCAGCAGCCGCGGUAAUACGGAGGAUGCGAGCGUUAUCCGGAUUUAUUGGGUUUAAAGGGUGCGUAGGCGGAUCGUUAAGUCAGUGGUCAAAUUGAGGGGCUCAACCCCUUCCCGCCAUUGAAACUGGCGAUCUUGAGUGGAAGAGAAGUAUGCGGAAUGCGUGGUGUAGCGGUGAAAUGCAUAGAUAUCACGCAGAACCCCGAUUGCGAAGGCAGCAUGCCGGCUUCCGACUGACGCUGAAGCACGAAAGCGUGGGGAUCGAACAGGAUUAGAUAACCCAGUAGUC
This 460-nucleotide ribosomal RNA is filed under the name uncultured bacterium. Its description in RNAcentral is "partial 16S ribosomal RNA". It matches the Rfam family "Bacterial small subunit ribosomal RNA", at positions 338 to 795 of the family's 1533-position model. The record is from RNAcentral.